This 401-nucleotide long non-coding RNA is filed under the name Ananas comosus (pineapple). Its description in RNAcentral is "long non-coding RNA (ACOM_LNC039786)". The record is from RNAcentral. Lineage: Eukaryota; Viridiplantae; Streptophyta; Magnoliopsida; Poales; Bromeliaceae.
GAGUAAUUAGCAUAGUAAUGAGAAUAGCUAAUUAGCCCUAGUAAUGUAAUUUGUAAGAGGCUAUAUAAGCUGGAGAAUGUAAGUAGGAGUUAUGAAAAAUUUAAUGCAAGUAUUCUUCCCCAAGCUUCUUCUUCCUCCUUCUGUUCCUACCCAUCUCCUCUCCACUCUUUCUCCCCAAUUCCCCCUAUUCUCCCCUCUAUUCCCUUCUCAAUUCCCUUGAUCGGGAACCUCUAACAUCCUGAACGCCGUCCGGCGGCGGCGCAAUUGCGAUUCAGGUGGAGGCGACCGCUCGGGUAUUACAUAAAAGUACCAAGCACUUGGUGCUUGUAAGUUUUUUACCGUUAGAUCUACUCCUCGAAUCAUUUACCAUUGGAUUAUACUAUUCAACCAACCACCCACUC